AACUGGUUAUUCUUUGCCUUGGGAUCAAAUUGGCUAUUGGGCAGUCAAAAUUGUGACAGGUGUACCUGACGCCAUUCCGGUAAUAGGAUCGCCUUUAGUGGAGUUAUUACGCGGAAGUGCUAGUGUGGGCCAAUCCACUUUGACUCGUUUUUAUAGUUUACAUACCUUUGUACUGCCUCUGCUUACUGCCGUAUUUAUGUUAAUGCACUUUCCAAUGAUACGUAAGCAAGGUAUUUCGGGUCCUUUAUAGGGAAGGCAUAUCAUAGAGAAUUAUAAUUAUCAUAUAUCAUAUCGGGUAGGUUUUGGUAUU
Molecule: ribosomal RNA, 310 nt
Filed under: Triticum aestivum (bread wheat)
Lineage: Eukaryota; Viridiplantae; Streptophyta; Magnoliopsida; Poales; Poaceae
Description: partial small subunit ribosomal RNA
Source: RNAcentral